Picea glauca (white spruce) is the source of this 121-nucleotide non-coding RNA. The record is from Rfam. Lineage: Eukaryota; Viridiplantae; Streptophyta; Pinopsida; Pinales; Pinaceae.
ACAUGCCUACAACAUAGCGUUAAUUCAUCGAAUCCCAUUAAAAAUUCACAGCUAAGCGCACUUAAGACAGGGUAGUACUAGGAUGGGUGACCGCCCAGUAAGUCCUAGUGUUCGACAUGCC